UAAUUUUUUCAUUUGCAGAUU
This 21-nucleotide non-coding RNA is filed under the name Caenorhabditis elegans. The record is from RNAcentral. Lineage: Eukaryota; Metazoa; Nematoda; Chromadorea; Rhabditida; Rhabditidae.